CAGCAAAUCGCUGCUGAUCACAGCUAUAGUAUUACAGUUUCAAAGGUUGAGGAAAAAAAGAAUGAGGACACUCAAAGAAGGGAAAGUGACAGUGAAGAAAUAGAGGACAUGGCUAGAGAGGAGAGACAGGGACAGGUGACACUACCCAGUCAGCCAGCAGCAAGUCAAUCAGCAGCCAGUCAGCAUUCCAGUGAACCAUCAGCCAGUUACCUGGGUCUAUUAAAAAAAUUAAAGAGACAAGAAAAAAUAUUUAAAAAAAUGCAAAGGCAGCACUAAGAAAAAUAAAGAAUGAAAAUGCAGCUCUCAAAAAAACUAUUAAAAUUAGGGACAACAUUUUAAAGAAAUUUUUGUCAAAAGACCAAAUUAUGGCAUUAGGAAGACGAACCACGAAAGGUAUGAAACGGAGCAAUGAAACAAUUAAGAAGGCAUUAAAAAUUUGCUUUAGAGUGCAUUUUAAAGAAUUUAAUUAUUUAAUACGUGUAAUAAAGAACAAUAAUAGCCAACAAUAAUCCUCCACCUACCAAUCCAG
Long non-coding RNA from Cyprinus carpio carpio, 529 nucleotides. The record is from Ensembl. NCBI's taxonomy places the organism in Eukaryota, Metazoa, Chordata, Actinopteri, Cypriniformes, Cyprinidae.